This 228-nucleotide long non-coding RNA is filed under the name Carica papaya (papaya). RNAcentral's name for it is "long non-coding RNA (CPAP_LNC012456)". The record is from RNAcentral. Lineage: Eukaryota; Viridiplantae; Streptophyta; Magnoliopsida; Brassicales; Caricaceae.
GACCUUAAACAAUUUCACACAUUCGUUGAUUUAUGAAAUACCGUUUUAUCAUUUAUUGAACUUUAAAACCGUGAUAGGAAAUAGGGUGAGGGGUCCUUACUCGUUUCGGGGUCCCAACAUGGCUUCACAGUGCGCUUGCAGGCUGUCCCUAAUUUUCUCUGAAUUUUUUCUAGGGAACUGAAACGCACUACUGGUACCUGCACGUGUUCCAAAAAAUUCUAAAUUAGG